AAAUUAAAAAUGUAUAUGUGCAUUGUAGGAUAUCCUUCAAUAUUUAUUGUAUGAUAUAUUAUAAUUAUACAAGGAAAAAUAUAUUUAAAAGGGCGUGGUUUAAAUUUUCUAAGAAUUUGAUUUUGUGGCACGGAAUUGUGGGAUAUAGAUGGCGAUAUCUUCAUGACUGAAACGUGCUAGUGGUAUAAAUGUGUGCUUGUUAACACUUUAAGAACGUUAAAUAAUCGCAUCAAAUAUGGGGGACAGCGAAGAUGAAUAUGAUAGGAAGCGCCGUGAUAAGUUUCGUGGAGAGAGAACCGAGUCUUACCAGAGAGGCGAGGGCCGUCGAGGCGGAGCUGCUGAAGAGAGGCGGCGGGAAGAAUGGAUAGAAAGAGAAUCAUGGGGUAGUCGCAAUCGUGCGAGGGCAGAUUACCGUGAAUAUCGUGGUGGUGGUGGCAGGGAGCGGUAUAGCCCUGCCAGAACUCAUGAUAUCUCACCACCAAUGAAGAGGGUGCGGACAGAGUGGGACGAACGGAGGAGUGCUGGCUAUGGGCAUGACAGUACUGCUGUAGGGUAUGGGAGCUAUGCUAGUUCAUGGCCCCAUGACAGCUAUAGCUCUCAGCAUGCUUAUGGGAACCAUGGUAAUAAUCAAAGGGAAAUUCAGACGACAGAAACGCAGCCACCUAUGAUGUCAUUCAAAGCAUAUCUGCAGACACAAGAUGACAACAUAACAGAUGAUGAGGCAAUCAAGAAAUAUAAUGAGUAUAAGUUGGAGUUCAAGAGGCAACAACUGAAUGAGUUCUUUGUAACUCACAAGGAAGAGGAGUGGUUCAAAAUAAAAUACCAUCCAGAAGACUCCGUGAAGAGGAGAGAGGAGCAGAUGGCAGCUCUUAAGAAUCGUGUUAAGGUAUUUAUAGAAUUUAUGGAGCAGAGUCGUCUGGGUACGGUAUCAGUGGAUGCAGAUCAGUCGGAACAGUUGAUCCGGUUGCUAGAUGCCGUCGUCAUACGGCUCGAAGGCGGAACAGAUUAUGACUUGCUGGCAUUGGAUGAACCCCGACCAGUGGGGUCUGGUUCAGGCCAGGGAUCUGCUGGAGUUGGGGCAAAUCAGACUUCAAAGCCCAGCAGUGCAACUGCAGGAGGUCAGACAGCAGAAAAGCAGGGCUCUGGAGACAGUGACGUCAAGCCAGGGAGUGUCAAGGAAGAGGAAGACGAAUCUAAACCAUUCAUACUUGGUGAAGAUGAGGACACAAAGAAAAAGGAACGUGACAAGACUACAGAACCUUUAGAAUUGAAGAAGGACCCGUCACAGCCUCUUAAAUUGAUAAUCAGCUCGGAGCAGGUUGAGCUACAGAAGAAGGCCAAAGAGUUUCUCAAGCAGAAGUCUGCAGAGGAAGAGGAUGGGCCUAGUCAAGUCAAGAAACGCAAAAGAGAAUAUGAAUAUGAGAGCGGAAGUGAGAGUGGGGAUGAACCGGCUGCCCCUGGUGAUAAUAAUGAUAUGGAAGAGGAUGAACCUCCUCCUCCUGGAUUGGAGGAAGGAAAAGGAGGUGAUGACAGCUUUGCAGAAGAUGAGGUCAAGAAGAAACACAUGGAAGUGGAUGCAAAUGAUGACAAGGAAGAGGAAGAUGAAAUUGCAAAGAAAGAAGAGAAAUCUGAUGAUGACCCCGAAGAUAGCUCAGAUAAAGAAGACAAGGAUAAAUCAGAGAAGAAUGUUGUAAAGGAUGGCAAGAUGGAUAGUGGGGAUGACGCUGAAGAAGGUGAUGAAUCAGAAAGGGAGCAUAAAAAGAAAAGAAACAGCAGUGAAGAGGCGGUUAAACCACGGCCGCUUCACAAGACUGCCUCGAUUUUCCUGAGAAAUCUUGCGCCAACUAUCACCAAACAAGAAGUUGAAGCGAUGUGCAAGCGUUAUCCAGGGUUCCUUCGAGUUGCCAUAGCUGAUCCCCAGCCUGAAAGAAGGUGGUUCAGAAGAGGCUGGGUUACAUUUGAAAGACAAGUGAACAUCAAAGAGAUCUGUUGGAACCUUAAUAACAUACGUCUGCGGGAUUGUGAAUUAGGUGCCAUCGUGAAUAGAGACCUCAGUCGGCGCAUCAGGACAGUUAAUGGUAUUACAUCACAUCGACAGGUUGUUAGACAUGACAUUAAACUGUCAGCACGCAUUGUUCAUAAUUUGGAUGCUAAAGCAGGACUUUGGGUAGAUCCUGAUUCACCAGAAGGAAAGGGUGAUCUGGCACCAGGAGACUCUAAGAAGGCGAAGGAAAAGGAGCCAGAUCAGUUGUCAUUGCCAAGCUUUGGGCUUGUGUCAAAGAAUCCAGUAUUGAAGAACAUCACCGACUAUUUGAUUGAAGAGGCUUCUGCUGAAGAAGAGGAACUUUUGGGACAUACCGCUGAUCAAGAGGAGGGGCAGCUCGGUGAUGAUACAGCCAGUGUCGAGAGAGAUGAAGCACUUAUUAAGGUGUUGGAUCGCUUACUGUUUUAUCUGCGUGUUGUCCAUUCUGUGGACUAUUAUAAUCACUGUGAAUAUCCGAAUGAAGAUGAGAUGCCAAAUCGAUGUGGCAUCAUGCAUGCACGAGGUAUUCCACCGUCAUCAAAAUUACAGGUAGCUCAGCAGGAGAUCAGCGAUUAUUGCCGUACUUUUGAGCAGAAAAUUGCUUCAUUCUUGCAACCAGUAACAAAGAUCACAGAUGAAGAAUACAGCAAGCUAGGUCACAAAGACCCUGAUGUUGAGGUGGAGAAAUUCAUUCAGGCAAAUACACAGGAAUUGGCUAAAGACAAAUGGUUAUGUCCACUGUCAGGAAAGAAGUUCAAAGGCCCUGAAUUUGUACGCAAGCACAUAUUCAACAAGCAUGGAGAGAAAGUUGAUGAAGUUAAGAAAGAGGUUGAAUACUUUAACAACUAUCUGCGAGACCCGAAACGACCCCAGUUGGCCGAACAUCCUGGUAAUCGUCAACAAAGGAAAGAGGGGACGAGUGAACGGGAAGGCUUCUCAGCUCCUUCGCCGUAUGUGCCUCAUUAUCAGUACAGUUACGGUGGACGACAUGCAGCAUACGGUGGUCAUAACUAUGGUGGUGGUUAUGGUUACAAUGCAGGCUACAACCAGGGGUACUCUCGUCCUAGUCGAGGCAGCUUUAACAGGGGCAGGUCUUCGACACAUGAUUCUGCCAAUCGUCCAAUUGUAGCUUAUAGUGAUCUAGAUGUCCCAGAUAUUGCAGAAAUGUUCUGACAUUACGAAGUUAUGAUGUUACUGUAGAAAAUGCAUAAGUAAAACUUGUUUAGAUUAAUUUUGUGUGCCAUGUCUCCCCAGGUUUUCAUGCACGUGUUAUCAUGUAUCGCUUUUACAUUUUAACAUCAGUCACAGUCCUCAGAAAUUUAUUUUAUAACCCAGAGUUGAAAGUUAAUCUAAACAACUCCCAGCAUUCGAGAAGGAACCCACAACUUAAUAGAUACAGGUUGUACUACUGAUCAUCUCAUCAUCAGGACAUACAAUGUUGUCACGCGGUGGCCAGAUUUUUUUGUAUGCCAUCGUCAUAUAUGCACUGAAUGUAGUUCCAUGAACCAGAAAAAUUGACUUCCUGGACCACCUAAACGGCAUUCACAAGCAACAUCCAAUUCACCAUGGAGACAGAUGGACACCUCCCCUUCCUAGGGGUGGUGCUGAUUAUCGGCCAGUAAUUCACUACCGGGAUUUGGAUGCACCGAGAGAACCAGAGGAGUUUAUCUGAGUUCCUUGACAAUCAUCAUUAUGCGUGUGCAAAACUUUAAUUACUUCAGGGUCACUUGGUUAAUGUCAUACUGUACAAUGUGGUAGUUAGUGUUCCAGUAAGUGAAUAUGGACAAGUUGUGAUUGACGUCUCCAUUUUCAGUUAAAACUUUCUUUGAAACUUUGAAGAUUGAAUUUCUUCCAGUGAACUUUAUAUUGUUAAAACACUUACCAUAGCCCCUCUGAUGCAUAAACAUAGAAUUCAUGAAAUGAGAAAAUAUUAUAAAACCAAACAUCUUACUGCACUCAGGGAAAUUUUAGUCUAAAUCAGUGGGUAUGCUUGUUGGUAACAGGCAUACACUGGAUCACUAAAUUCCGCUGCAAUCGAACAUAUACUAAAAAAUGUGUGUUAGUUCCAAAUCACAUAUUGAAGUCUUCAGUCAUUUUGUUGGCUGUGGUAUGAGUACAAAUACUAAUUUGCUUUUGUUUCGGGAAACAUUUUAGUGUUGCAGUUGGGAGAAUGUUAGUGCAAGUAAAUCUUCCAGAUAUUAUUGGAAUUGUAAUAAAUGUAGGAACAGUGACUUUUGGAACAUAUGACACCAGUUUAUAAUUGUAAGGCUGAGAAUGUUGGUACCAGAGGUACAAUUCGGGCUUUCAUUCGCCACAUCUGAAUUUAGUCAAAAGUUCAGUAACGUGGACUGUGAGGAUCUGAUUUGCAGCAGGGUUACCACAUCCAGACCUGACAGAACUUGGAGGUGACUAUAAAGAAUGCAUGGUGCUUACUUCCACUCCCACAUACAUUUUACAUUAUAAUGCUUAAGCACUGAGACAGCUCUGCCUUUUUACUGUUUUGUACAAUUCACGUGACUAUAAAACUCAUAAGGCUUGUUUAUAAAUAUUUGGUUUUCACUGGAAAACACAAUGGUAAGACAUGAUUUUGUGACAGUAGAAACUUUUAAUUCCCCUCGGACAAAACAUUCUAAGACAUUCUGUUAAAUGGCAGAAGCUACAAGGACAGUCUUAUUACAGAAAUGUUUUUAAUUCUGCAAUAAUGCACAAAUAAAACAUUGUUGAAAGGCCAGUGUACAUACAGGUAUGUUGCUUAGAGCAACAUAGAUACCAUUUAUUUCAUACAGUUUUAAUUAGUUUUGUUGUGUUAUAAAUAAGUAUAUUCAUUCAAGAUUUAUGAACACUUUCAAAAAGAUAUAAAGCAAGCUCUGAACAUUUAUAACUGCUAAUCACUUCAGAAUUUUCUGUGUCAUUAUUCUGCAGACAUUUACCUCAAUUUCUGUUGGUAAGACAAGGGAACUGUGGAAUGAACAUAAGCAGACUAUGUGGUAACUUUGCGUGCGGUAAUAUAAUAAAUCAUUUUAUGGUGCUUUCCUCGUCACAGGUUAAUGUUCUGUCAAUGUAUGUUCCAUGUAGAUUUUCAAGUCGCAUGGUAAUUAGUGUCUAACAUGUUCAUAUCUACCACCACCAACCUCUCCUCUUAGGUAUGUUUGCAGCCCAGCAGAAUGUCUAUUAAAAUCACUUAAUCUGUUCAGUCAUUAAGUUUUAAGUUUAUAAUUAUCCUGUAUUGAUUAUGUAUUGUUUUAGGUGUAGCAAAUUUGUGAUUUUAGGGUAUAGUUUGUAAAAAAAACAUGUUAUCGCUGUAACAUGCAGUGUAACGCUGGCACAUAUCGAUUGAUUCACUAUAACAUUAAUUUAAUGCUAAUACACAGGCAUUACUCCAAAUGUUAAUGGCGAAGAUUGGAAUAUAAAUUAUUAUUUAUAGUCUGGUUGUAACACAUUGUUUUCACAGAAAUUUUGUACCUGGCUGAAUAUUUUGGAAUAGUUUUUCUGUAUGUCAGGUAUUAUUUACUAUGUGCUUCCUUCUAUUUCUUUUUUAGUUUAUGGUCAUUAAUUAUCCUGUUAUUCAGUGCUACAGAUUCUUAAGCUACUAACAGUGUUUUAAAAUAAACCACAAAUAAAUUAAUAUAGUCUGAUGUGUGACUUCUGAUAGAGACAAAAGAUGUUUAUGAUACACUAACAUACACAUUGGCUGUAAACAAUUUCAGAUCACUAAUUGUGCCACAAUAUUGCGCUCUUUUCUAUAUUUUACCGCUGACUGGAGCUGAUACCUGAAUGAUGAAAUUAGUUAGAAACCAUGAAUUUUACAAUUGUUCCAAGUAUCAACAUUCUUUCCCAGAAUACAUUACUUUUAUGUGACAGAUGGCUUUCCGAUGCAUAAUAGUAGAAGCCUCUGCAUUUCGGCGUUCUUUUUACUGUCCUACACAGUCAUGCUGUUAUUGUAACGCAGCAUGGUACAGUGGUUAUGGAACAGCUCUGCAGAUUUUCCUGUAGAAGGGAUUCCAUUAUUAUAGAAUGUUAUACCAGAGCAUAAGUUGUACAGUCGUGAGUAUGAUGUGAUGAGGCGUCAUACAUGGGCUGGGUGCGAAGUCCAUGUGACCAAUUAAGACACAGGAAAUGCAGUUCUGAGUCGAGGUCUUGAUGAUUGAAAACUGUCUUUGCUGGUCAGCAAAAAAAGCAGGGCCCAGUAACAGACAUCCUCUGGGUGGCAGUUUGUCCAUCAACUCAGAAAACUCUAUAGCGACCAAAACAAUUGAAUAGGAAGUCUUAAAACUAGUGAUACAAUCCAUGAUGUAUAUUUGUAUGGCAUUAGUUUUGGUGGUUCUGUUACAACCUUCAGGAGUUGUGGAUGGGGUUCAGAAGUGGUUUGUUUUAAGCCUUAAACCAUUUUCAUAUUUCAGUUCAACUUUAACUUAUCAAAAUUACUUAUCCUGAAUGCAUUAUAAAAACAGUCAUUCCACUUAUUAAGUGCAUCUUGUUAAUACAGUGUUGCAGCACUAAUAAGUGUGUACGUGUUUGCUUUACCAUGCACCAAGUUCUAAAUGUCACUGUUUCUCCAACUGCAUUAAAGUUUAAUCCAUUACAUUUCACUUUGAAGCUCAUUCAAACAGUCCAUGUGGAAGUGUCCUCAGUGGGCAUAUCAGUCAGUAGAUGUAAGUAUUUCAGAAAUUUUGUAACUACCAAAUGAGCAUACAUAUAAAAUUAAUGAAGAAAUUCAGCAGGGAA
This is a non-coding RNA of Zootermopsis nevadensis, 6748 nucleotides long. NCBI's taxonomy places the organism in Eukaryota, Metazoa, Arthropoda, Insecta, Blattodea, Termopsidae. The record is from RefSeq and is a predicted model, not a curated record.